Molecule: ribosomal RNA, 624 nt
Filed under: uncultured Penicillium
Lineage: Eukaryota; Fungi; Ascomycota; Eurotiomycetes; Eurotiales; Aspergillaceae
Description: eukaryotic LSU rRNA
Rfam family: 5.8S ribosomal RNA (bases 246-398)
Source: RNAcentral
CUUGGUCAUUUAGAGGAAGUAAAAGUCGUAACAAGGUUUCCGUAGGUGAACCUGCGGAAGGAUCAUUACCGAGUGAGGGCCCUCUGGGUCCAACCUCCCCACCCGUGUUUAUUUUACCUUGUUGCUUCGGCGGGCCCGCCUUAACUGGCCGCCGGGGGGCUUACGCCCCCGGGCCCGCGCCCGCCGAAGACACCCUCGAACUCUGUCUGAAGAUUGAAGUCUGAGUGAAAAUAUAAAUUAUUUAAAACUUUCAACAACGGAUCUCUUGGUUCCGGCAUCGAUGAAGAACGCAGCGAAAUGCGAUACGUAAUGUGAAUUGCAAAUUCAGUGAAUCAUCGAGUCUUUGAACGCACAUUGCGCCCCCUGGUAUUCCGGGGGGCAUGCCUGUCCGAGCGUCAUUGCUGCCCUCAAGCCCGGCUUGUGUGUUGGGCCCCGUCCCCCGAUCUCCGGGGGACGGGCCCGAAAGGCAGCGGCGGCACCGCGUCCGGUCCUCGAGCGUAUGGGGCUUUGUCACCCGCUCUGUAGGCCCGGCCGGCGCUUGCCGAUCAACCCAAAUUUUUAUCCAGGUUGACCUCGGAUCAGGUAGGGAUACCCGCUGAACUUAAGCAUAUCAAUAAGCGGAGG